ACAAUGCAUGCCAAAGUUUAUUUAUUUCAUGAUUUUGUGUUGGUUCAGGAGUCUCGCAUCAUCUGUGAUGGAGCUUUUGAGAGAAUCAGGAUUUGCAGGUAUGUCAUCUGUCGUCUCGUGCUGUUGGUCUAUUAACUGCCAAAUUUGAACGUGGGUAGGACCAUGGUGUGCUAGCCCAAGAAUACUGUGAACGGAGAGAUGAACUUCUUGGAUCCCUGUAUGACCUUGCAAAGCAAAUUAUAGAAGCAAAAAUAUCAGGACCAUGGUGUGCUAGCCCAAGAAUACCUGUUGUAAAGCUGGCUUGACGAAGGCAGGUACUACAGGGCGACGUGUGAGAUUGAGAUGUUGAUUGAACCAAAGGCUUGGGAUUGUGUAAGAUAACAAUCACCUGGAGAUAGUAUUUGUAGAACCAACCGUGGCUGUCCCUAAGUAGGUUUUGGACUUCUGUAGGAAUCUAAAUAGGACUUGGAGUCGUUGUACAGUAUAAUCUGAUUCGUACACGGACACGCUUGAGUGGCAAAUUAUCUGUAGCACCAACUGUGCCUGCUACUAAGUAGGUUUUGGACCUAUGUAGGAAUCUAAAUAGGAUUUGAGUAGUUGUAUCCA
This is a long non-coding RNA of Hordeum vulgare subsp. vulgare (domesticated barley), 606 nucleotides long. RefSeq lists it as uncharacterized. The transcript has 2 exons. Lineage: Eukaryota; Viridiplantae; Streptophyta; Magnoliopsida; Poales; Poaceae. The record is from RefSeq and is a predicted model, not a curated record.